This is a long non-coding RNA of Mirounga angustirostris (Northern elephant seal), 1528 nucleotides long. RefSeq lists it as uncharacterized. The transcript has 3 exons. Lineage: Eukaryota; Metazoa; Chordata; Mammalia; Carnivora; Phocidae. The record is from RefSeq and is a predicted model, not a curated record.
GAACAGAGAUCCUAUAUAAUUGGAAUGAACCCUGUGUUUAUGGAUUGAAAGACAUAAUAUUGUUAAGACGGCAACACUGCCUGAGAUGGUCUACAGAUUCACUGCAAUCCCUAGCAAAUCUCUAACGGCCUUUCUUUUUUUUUUUUUUAAUUACAGAAUUGGAAAAGCCAAUCUUCAAAUUCGUAUGGAAUUGUAAGGGCCCCAAAUAGACAAAACAGUCUUGAAAAAGAAGAACAAAUUUGGAGGACUCACACUUUCUGAUUUCAAAACUUACUACAAAGCUACAUAAUCACAACAAGGUGCUACUGGCAUAAGGACAGACAUACAGAUCAAUAGAACUAUUUUUGUUUUAAAUGCCUACUACAAUGUAAGUUUGGAGUUAUAAGGCCUUGGAUGAAGUCCCAUAUUGUUCAGAGGAUUGAAUGUAAUAAUACAGCACUUGACAUACUGCCUAUCAACUAAGAGAGAGAGCAUGAGCAGGGGGGAAGAGCAGAAUGGAAGGGAGCAGAAGGGGGAAAGAAUCUCAAGCAGACUCUGCGCUGAGCAUGGAGCCUGACGUGGGGCCCAAUCCACAACCCUGAGAUCAUGACCUGAGCUGAAACCAAGAGCUGGAUGUUCAACCGACUGAAAUACCCAGGUGCCCUGUUUUGCAUUUUUGACCUAAAAAAAUUUUAAAGAGGAGAAAAACUCACAUUUUAUGUUAUUAAAAAAAAUUUUUUUUAUUAACAUAUAAUGUAUUAUUUGUUUCAGGGGUGCAGGUCUGUGAUUCAUCAGUCUUACACAAUUCACAGCACUCACCAUAGCACAUACCCUCCCCAAUGUCCAUCAUCCAGCCACCCCAUCCCUCCCACACCCCACCAACCCAGCCAGCAGCCCUCAGUUUGUUUCCUGAGAUUAAGAGUCUCUUAUGGUUUAUCUCCCUCUCUGAUUUCAUCUUGUUUCAUUUUUCCCUCCCUUCCCUUAUGAUCCUCUGCCUUGUUUCUCAAAUUCCUCAUAUCAGUGAGAUCAUAUGAUACUUGUCUUUCUCUGACUUAUUUUGCUUAGCAUAAUACCCUCUAGUUCCAUCCACAUCAUUGCAAAUGGCAAGAUUUCAUUUUUUUUGAUGGCUGCAUAAUAUUCCAUUGUGCAUAUAUAUAAAUAUAUAUAUAUAUAUAUAUAUACCACUUCUUCUUUAUCCAUUCAUCUGUUGAUGGACAUCUAGGCUCUUUCCAUAGUUUGGCUAUUAUGGACAUUGUUGCUAUAAACAUUGGGGUGCACAUGUCCCUUCAGAUCACUACAUUUAUAUCUUUGGUGUAAAUACCCAGUAUUGCAAUUGUUGGGUCGUAGGGUAGCUCUAUUUUCAGCUUUUUGAGGAACCUCCAUACUGUUUUCCAGAGCGGCUGCACCAGCUUGCAUUCCCACCAACAGCGUAGGAGGGUUCUCCUUUCUCCGCAUCCUCGCGAACAUCUGUCGGAAAAACUCACAUUUUAAAUUUAAAAAUCUUACUUCUCUUAAAUUGACUGUUAGUUGAAAGGAAACUAGUUAGUUG